AGUUUAAAGAUGUGUUACAUCAAUUACAUUCGAAUUAUAGAUAUGAGUUUAUGUAGAGCAGACGGACGCCCGAGGGCUUCCGUCUCACGAGUGCACAGGUGUGUGUGGAUGAAAGAGAAGGCGUGCACAUGUCCCCGAAAGGACCAGCGACAACCGACUCUACAUUCAUUCAAUAAUGAUCCUUCCGCAGGUUCACCUACGGAAA
This 205-nucleotide unclassified non-coding RNA is filed under the name uncultured fungus. RNAcentral describes it as "sequence contains ITS1, 5.8S rRNA gene". Lineage: Eukaryota; Fungi. The record is from RNAcentral.